CAGCAACAUUGAGUCCCAUAAUUGAAAUCACUGUUGCCCAGCACGUACAACAACAACAACAACAAUAACAAUUAUUAACGGGAGCAACAAUGCAAACAAUCAACAAACAAGGUGCCCAAGUCAGGUAGCCAACUAGCAACGCCCGAACGGACGGAGGACAGCUAAGGCCCAGAGGCCAAAGCCCCAAUGGAGCCCAAGCACACAACAACAGCAACAACAACAACAACAACAACUACAACAAUGAAAACAACAAAAAACCUGACCCCAACCCAGACCCAGACCCAGUUUUUGGGACCUGCUGGCCGAAGCGAAAAGUGUGUGAAGGCCAAGGACGCGAUCCAGUCGGCUGAACAGGCUGAGGCAACUCUUGCUAACCCAACAAGAGAGACAAUUUAAAUGCAAGCGCUACUUACAAAGGAAAUUACAAUGCAAGAGAUUCCGAUCUUCGAUUCCCAACCAAAUCAAGUAGAGCUUAUUUACUGUUUAUUGUGUCGAAUGGGGGCAAAAGGAUGGCAUUGAGAAUCAUAGAAGUAUAAUACGGCC
This 543-nucleotide small RNA is filed under the name Drosophila mojavensis. Its description in RNAcentral is "GI25693". Lineage: Eukaryota; Metazoa; Arthropoda; Insecta; Diptera; Drosophilidae. The record is from RNAcentral.